GGUUGUGCGCGCGAGUGGUCAGGGAGCGGUCUGCAAAACCGCGUACGCCGGUUCGAUCGCGGUCACGGCCG
Molecule: transfer RNA, 71 nt
Filed under: Micromonospora ureilytica
Lineage: Bacteria; Bacillati; Actinomycetota; Actinomycetes; Micromonosporales; Micromonosporaceae
Description: tRNA-Cys
Rfam family: tRNA
About the family: Transfer RNA (tRNA) molecules are approximately 80 nucleotides in length. Their secondary structure includes four short double-helical elements and three loops (D, anti-codon, and T loops). Further hydrogen bonds mediate the characteristic L-shaped molecular structure. tRNAs have two regions of fundamental functional importance: the anti-codon, which is responsible for specific mRNA codon recognition, and the 3' end, to which the tRNAs corresponding amino acid is attached (by aminoacyl-tRNA synthetases). tRNAs cope with the degeneracy of the genetic code in two manners: having more than one tRNA (with a specific anti-codon) for a particular amino acid; and 'wobble' base-pairing, i.e. permitting non-standard base-pairing at the 3rd anti-codon position.
Source: RNAcentral